Molecule: non-coding RNA, 391 nt
Organism: Schizosaccharomyces pombe (fission yeast)
Lineage: Eukaryota; Fungi; Ascomycota; Schizosaccharomycetes; Schizosaccharomycetales; Schizosaccharomycetaceae
Source: the annotation of a GenBank genome assembly
AUUAGAAUGCGAAAAGGUAAAGAAAGAAAGAAAAUACCAAAUUGUGCUGUGGGUUUUCAAAAACCAAACGCAAAGUCAAGGAUCAACAAGGGACAGCAGAUCAGAUCAGAUCAAAUGAGAUCCUUUUGGGGAAUUAACGUAUUAUUUUAAAAUUAAACUCGAGCUCACUUAAUUGCGUACUACGCAAAUCCAAAUACAGAGAUCUAGCAAAACACAAAAAGUGGAAAGGCAAAUAAACAAAUAAACACAGGACGGAAAAAGAAAAGACCGCAAGAAGGUGUAUUAACGAAAAGGGGAAUUUUGAAGAGGGAAAAAAAGAGUUAAACUAAAAUGGAGGGGAUCGAGAGAAUUUGAAAAAUGAGUGAUAAUUAAAGUAUAAUCAGGGGAGCUU